AAUCAUGCCUAUGUUUAAAUUUGGUCGCUUUAUUUGUGUUUCAUCUUUUUCCCCUGAAAAUUGAAACUGGUGACAAAAUCUAUACGCAUCUUCGAUUAUUAUGGUUUAAAUGUUGAUGGGUGAAGUAUUUUGACUCGAUUACCAUCGAAUUUGCCAUUAUGAGGGAUUGAAUUUGGUCUCAUUUGAGCUCAUGAAUGUUUGUAAUUUCACCUGCAUCGUCUUAAAUAUGUAAAGUCAGUAAUAUGUGGGGCAUUAUUGUUAUUCGAUUUUCAUCAGACAAGAAUAAAGUUUCAAAAAUGUCGAACUUUUGGUAAAGUUGAGACCUUUACUUUUCUUUAAAUAAUUCUAUCUUGUUUUACGAUCAUCGUCCCUUCUCCGUCUAAAUCCCUCCUGCCCAGUUUAUGGAAAAUCCUCGUAAAACUUAGAAUAUUACAAAUGUACAUUGUGAAUAAAUAGGAGACCAUUUAGAAAGAUUUAUCUUCUGUUUUGGGUAACAUGUGGAUACAUUCUCCUAUGGUUGAACUUUUGUUUUAUGGAUUCCUUUUCACUCAUUUUGAAAUUGCGGUUGUUCUUGAGCCUUUUCUCUAUGUGAUCCUGAAUCAUCUUUGUAUUCAUAUACUUUGUGAAUUUGGAUGAACUGUACCAUCAAAUGGGAAUCUACUCUUUGCUAAAUUGACAUGAUAUUUUGCCUACUAUCAAGUAAGAUACAUGAAUACUGUAGCAUUCUUGCAUAUUAAUGUUAAGACACGUAUUAAUUCCUUCACUUUUCUUUUGCAUGUGAAAUCAUUCGAGUCCCACAUGGAUUGCUUUCCCCUUUUUUCCUGUUCAUCAUGGGCCAAUGAGGCCCAUCUCCUGAGUCAAGCCCAAAAAAAAGUUCAAAUCAAUUUCAUGGCACAUGGAAUAUCAGAAAUUGAAAAGGGAAAAUGGUUUAAAGCCCCCAUGAUUGAAGCGGCGAAGAGACUCAAGAGUCUCCUUUAUUAAUUUAUUCACUCAUUGUUGUCUUUUAUUUAUUUAUUUAUUUAUUUUUAUUUAUUUAUUCGAGCCACGAAGCCAAAGUUGUAACUAAUACAGGUGGAGCAAGCUCGAGCUAAGGGCUCGAAAACAUAGAAUUAGGACAGGUGGAAGACGGGCUUAAAGCCCAAUAUCUAGAUUAGGACAGGGUUGUCGAUUUGGGCCUAAUGGCUCAAGUCCUUAUGCUUCUAAUACCCUUUCCCUUUUACUUUUGCUAAUUUGCUUUAUGUGUUUUCUUGCGAACCUAGUUAAAAUCCCUAACUAAGUUGCUAAAAACUGGUUUUGCAUAAACACCAAAAUAUUUCUAAAAUCGCUUUCUUUUCAAAAACCAAUCUAUUUUAUAAAGUUAGACAAAAGACGUUUUCAAACAGUCCGGAUAAUCGUAAGUUAGCGGGCGUUUUAGGUUCCUAACACCUUCCUAAAACGUUAAUAGGAACCGCUUAUCUAGAAUCUCUGACUUAAAAUGAUUUUUCUGUUUCGAAUCAUUUGAAGUAACUCUCUAAAGGUUUCUUAAUUCCUUUUCAAAAUUAAGUGGAGACUCUCUUUCAAAAGUCAAAAUUUUUCGCAAAAUAGAAAUGGCGACUCUGCUGGGGAUUUUUAACUAGGUUCUAACCAAAUGUUUGAUUUCAUCUUGUGAUUAACUGUUUAUGUGUUUAUCUGUUUCGAUUCUGUAGAAUUUAAAUAUCGCAUCUCAUGGCAUAUUCCUACAUUAUUUAAAUUGUUUUGGGAUUUCGUGGGUAUCCCGGCCCCUAUAAUGUGUUGGAAAUACAAAUAAUUUAUUAGCACGUGAGUCGUCUGAUGGUUGUUUGUAUUUUCAAACUCAAGUUGUCCGCUUGAGAACCAGUGUUCAAACCCACUCUAGAUACCUAGGAUAGAGCGAAACCAAAACCCUAUUUCAGGCAUAAGCCUAGGACAACCCAAUACCCGAGCGGGCUACUGGACCCAUUAGAAAACCUGCCCUGCGUCUAUUGACCCCGAGUCAAUUAUAGACAAACCAUAUUUAUGUGUUGAAGAAAAUGUAUGCCUAUCUAAUUCAAUCCAUUAUUCUUUGGGGGUCGGAAAAAAGCUUGAUUUGUUUAUUUUUGUAAGAAGAAUUGAAGCAAGAUAAACAAGAAAUUGAUCGAUUUGGGAGGUUGCAUCUAAGGCACAAUUUGAACGUCAACGGAUGUCACCAAUAAAAGUAGUGGACGAAGCUAAGAAGGUGAAGGUUGAUAGAAGAAGCACUCGAGAAUUGGUAUUUUCUAUCCCCUGUGUGGGAACGUGUCUUCUUUCAUGUUAUUUCCCUUUCCAUAAAGAUUGUAUCCCUAUUUUGUUAUCGUUUGUAAGCAUUUAUGCCCUUUUCGUGUCUAUAUAAGUUGGAGGUUAAUGGAUUGACUUCGAGGAAUCAUAUAUUUUCUUCAAAAAUUGUUAGGCCUGAACCCUUGGCUCAAAAGGGUCACCCCAGCUAGGAUACGCCUUAUUAUAACAUUUUUGUGUGAUAUAACUGUUUCAUGUGAUUAUGUGCGUAUGUUUGAAUCAAAGACAAGUUUAUCCACUAUGUCCUAUGGACGAACUUUGCUAUGACUCAAACAACUCUAUGUGGUUAUUUCAUGUCAAAUAUUUUCCAUUAUUUAUCAUAUACGAAAAAUAACACAUCUGCCUUUGAGUUAUUUUACUUUACAGAUAAUAGAAAUUACUCUGUGUUGAUAUAAGCUGGCAGAACAUUUCUACUUCACCCGAUCGAAAACGCACAAAAUCCCAUCCUCUGACCAUCAUCCAGAAAUGACAGGAAAUGACAAAAAAAAUGCACUGACUAUCUGGGAUAAUGUGAUAGCGGAAUAGAAUGAGAUGAUUGCGGAACUUGCAAGAAAGUUAGAAAUGCUUUAGGAGAAAAUAAAUCGCACUCGGGAUUUGACUAGCUUGGCCAUCACCGUCAAUGCUCCCGAUCCGAGAGGACACAGGGCUCCACCCCAAAUCCCUCCCCUCAGCACCUCUAUUCUCGGGGACCAGCCAACUAACGUAUCAUCUAGCUCCGCUCCUCUAUUUGUCCAAAAUACUAAUCGUGAAAAUAAUCCAGACGCCUACCAUCCACAAAAUUCGUCUGUAACCCCACAGAACCCAUCUUCGAAUCCAUUCCCAAAUCCUCAAAACACAUUCUCAAAUCAACUAAACGCAUUUCCAAAUUGGCAAGAUUCAUUCCCAAAUCUACAAAAUACGUCAAACCUACCUUCGAAUCCACCAAAUUCAUUUCCAAAUCCGCAAAAUCCUUCUCCUCUAAAGUACUUACAAAGUCCAUAGAACCUUUACAAUUUCCAGAACAUCCUCCCCACUUACCAACCAAGUUCCCUCCUUUCGAAAAAUCAGGCCUCCCUUCCAAAUCCCUCUCAAGCCAUCAUAUCCCCUGAUAUCUAUGAACCCUUUCCUAACCCCGAGAUGGACCAUUACGAGGAGAAGGAGAAAGAAUGGAGGGCCCAGCAUGAAAAGAAUUUACUAGCUAUGAAAGAAGAGAUCAUAAGGAUCAAAGAGUCUCAUGGAGCCAAGGACCACGACGGUUUGGGGUAUGAUGAUUUAUGUGUUCACCCGAGAGUAGAUCUACCAGAAGGGUACAAAGUCCCUAAGUUUGAGAUGUUUGACGGUACCGUAAAUCCAAUGGCCCAUCUAAGAAGGUACUGUGAGCAACUGGUAGGGAUAGGGAAAAAUGAGGCGCUAUUGAUGCGCCUAUUCAGUCAAAGUUUGAAUGGUGAAGCCUUAGAGUGGUUCAUAUCUCAAGAGCCGAAAAAGUUGACUGGUUGGAAAGCAUUGGCCAAGAGUUUCCUUGACCGGUUCGCAUUAAACAUCGAAAUAGUCCCUGACCGGUAUUCACUAGAUCAGAUCAAACAAAAGAGCGUUGAGAGUUUACGAGACUAUGCUUUUCGUUGGAGGAAAGAAGCUGCCAAAGUGCAACCCCCAUGUCCGAGGAGGAAAUGGUAUCCGUGUUCUCUCGCGCUCAAGAAGGAGAAUAUUAUACCAGGAUGGUGUCCGCUGUCAGAGCAACAUUUGCAGAUUUGGUAAAAAUAGGAGAAUCAUUAGAAGAAGGUAUUCAGACAGGGAAAAUUGCCAAAACCCCGACAUCGUCUGGAACUGUCAUGUUUUCUAAGAAGAAGAAGGAAGAUGUAGGUGUGGUUUCUGCUAAUCUGUUACAAAAUCAAAACAACGGUUCAACUCUAGAAAUAUUUUAUCUUCCCCGCCAUCACGUAACCUUCUGCAUGCAUUUUACGCCCACCCCCAAUACCAAACUCCACUCCCAAACAUCCAAUCCUCAUACCAAGCUCCACAGCCAAACACCUUUCCCUAAUACCCAGUUCCACCUCUAAAUUAUCAGUCUCAUUUCCAAACCACUCCUUCAAAUAACCGAACAAAUUUCCAAAUGCCUCCAAAUUAUCACCAAGUACCCCCUCCUACAAACCUAAGCCAGUAUAACCCCCAACGUUUGAACUAAGAAAAGAAACCUCCCCAUAACUUCACCCCAUUAGCUGAAAGUCAUACCCAAUUGUUUGAAAGAUUGAGGGAUGUCGGUCAUUUGCAACCAAUAUAGUCAAAGAGUGUCAAUCCCAAAUCUCAAUUUUUUAAUGCAAGUCAGCAUUGUGCCUAUUAUUCGGGGGCAGCAGGGCACAAUACAGAGGAUUGUGUCCACUUGAAACACAAGAUCCAGGAUUUAAUCUAUCAAAAGGUCAUCAUGCUCCAGGCAUCUACUCCAAAUAUUAGCAGUAAUCCACUGCCCAACCAUGGGGGAUCUAUAGUCAACAUUAUUGAGAACGAGGGCAAAUGGACAUCUGGCAAGACCAUUACCCAGGUGAACUUUGAAAAGCACAAAAGAGCAAAAGAGGUAGGAAAGAUAGAGAAGGCUGUGGCUGCCUUAAGUAUCAGUGAGAAAACCCCAUUUAUAGUGAUGACAGCCCCGACUCAAGUGUAUGCUCCCUCGCCAAGAAAGAAAUUUAUUGUGCAAACCGUUGCUGCCCACGGGAUGACACGAUCGGGACGAUGUUACAUCCCUAAGGAAUUGACCAACAAAAAUGAUUCACAGAAACGGCCAAUCACUGAAGGAGAGGCUGAGGAAUUUUGGAGGCGUAUGCAACCAAAGAAUUACUCAAUUGUCAAACACUUGGAGAAAACGUCAGCCCAAAUCUCUGUAUUAGCACUAUUAAUGAGUUCGCAAUACCACCAACAGGCUUUAUCGAAGGUCUUGGAGGAAGCAUAUGUUCCCAUAGAAAUGAGUGUUAAUAAUCUAGAUGCAAUCAUAGGGAACAUUGUGGGGAGUCAUCGCAUAUCAUUCAGUGAUGAAGAAUUUCCAUUUGAAAGAGCGAUGCACAACAAAGCCAUGCAUGUCACCGUCGUUUACCGCGAUUAUGCGAUUAAUCGAUAUUAAUAGAUGAUGGAUCUGGUGUGAAUAUUUGUCCUCUCUCUAAGAUGGUUCAAAUGGGCUAUGAUUUAGGAAAAAAUUAUCAAAGCCACGUAAAUGUGAGAGCAUUCGAUGGUGGACAGAGAGAUACCAUAGGAGAGAUUGAUUUGCACAUCCAAAUGGAGCCUGCUGAGUUCAUGACUAAGUUUCAUGUUAUGGAUAUCCAUCCUAGCUACAACCUGCUCUUGGGAAGACCAUGGAUACAUGGUGCAAAGGCAGUUUCAUCACCCCUUCAUCAAUUAUUGAAGUUCAUUUGGGAAGAUCACAAGGUAGUCAUCCAAGGAGAAAGAAAUCGAGCGGACCGUCCCAAUGGUUAUGUGCCGGUGAUUGAAGAUGUUCCAAAAGGUAGCAGUUUCUAUACAAUGGAAAUUGUAAAUGCUGUGGACAGAGAUUCGACCCCCAAAGUACCAAUGCCUUCUGUCUACAAAAUAAUUGUAAUGGUGGUAUUAAGAAAUGGGUUCGAACCUGGUCGAGGCUUGGGCAAGAAUUUACAAGGAAUUAUCGAGCCUAUUGCGAUCCCAGAGAGAAGCUCUAAGUACGGGUUAGGAUAUCAGCCUACCAGGAAGGAUAGGGUUGAGGAUGAGCCAGAGAAGAGUCUGUUUGGGCCCUUGCCACUCCUGUUCCAGUCAUUUCCUGUACGAGAGUUGUCAGAUAAUGAUGGUCUUGGGGAUGGGAUAGGAGAUUUGUUCGAAGGAUGCAAUGUUGUACCAGAAGAUCUCCCAAAGUCCAACAGGGUGAAGCAGAUUGCGCCAGGGGAGGCAUUGCAAAAUUGGACCUCCGCUCCACUCAUAACCUAUUGGCUAUGGUGGUAGAUGAAAGGGCAAUUACUGAUAGUUUUUAAAAUUGGUGAUGAUCUGGAAAAGGCCCCGCGAUCCAUCUUUUAUAUCUCAAAACUUUAUUUUCGUAUCUUACUGCUUUAAAAAUGGCAUGGACUUGUAUUUGCACAAGUCAUGAGCCACGAUUUUGUAAUUAUCUCCCAAAUUUCAAUGAAAAGGCCUUCAUUUAUUUAGAAAAUUCUAUUAUUUCUAAAACACUUCUAGUCAUAUAUUUUGUUAUUAUCUUGUUAUCAUCUAACUUGGUUUGUUUGUCCAUUACAGUAACAGUAGCUUAAAAUCUGCCAAUAUCAUAUCAUAUCAAAGCUGAGGGGAACAAUGAUGAUUGGAAAAAUGAUGACGAGGAACGAUUAGUCAAAGAUAUGGAGGAAUUUGAGAAUCGCAAAAAACCCAAUCUGGAGAAAACUAAAACAGUCAACUUGGGAGAUUAUGAUGAAAUCAAAGAGACAAGUGUCAGUAUUCACCUAACGGUCCCACAAAGGAAAGAGCUCAUCCACCUGUUGCGGGAAUACAUUGAUGUGUUUGCUUGGUCCUAUGAUGAUAUGCCAGGGUUGAGCACCAGCAUUGUGUCACAUAAGUUGCCAAUAAAUCCGGAGUUUGAUCCAAUCAAACAAAAAAUAUGGAAAUUCAAGCCAGAUUUAAGUCUAAAGAUCAAGGACGAAGUGACAAAACAAAUCUAGUCUAAUGUUGUUGAGGUCACAAAAUAUCUGACGUGGUUGGCCAACAUCAUUCCUGUGCCGAAGAAGGACGACAAGAUUCAAAUUUGUGUUGACUAUAGAGACUUGAAUAGAGCCAGCCCUAAAGAUAAUUUUUCGUUGCCCAAUAUCCAUAUUAUCAUCGAUAACUGUGCAAUACAUGAAAUGUAGUCAUUCGUUGAUUGUUUCAUCGGGUAUCAUCUGAUAUUGAUGGAUGAGGAAGAUGCAGAAAAAAUAGCUUUUAUUAUACCCCGGGGUGUUUAUCAUUAUAGGGUAAUGCCGUUUGCUCUCAAAAAUACGGGUGCAACAUAUAUGAGGGCUAUGAUGAUGACUUUCCAUAAUAUGAUCCAUAAAGAGAUUGAGGUGUACAUGGAUGACGUAAUUAUCAAAUCCCGUGAGAGUUUGAAUCAUCUGACUCAUCUAGAGAAAUUUUUCAACAGAUUAAGAAGGUACAGUUUGAAAUUAAACCCUGCUAAGUGUGCUUUUGGUGUGCCAUCAGGGAAGUUGCUGGGUUUCAUAGUCAGUAAAAGAGGCAUCGAGUUAGACCUAUCCAAAAUCAAGACAAUUCAGGGUUUGCCACCGCCGAAGACUAAGAAGGAAGUUAUGAGUUUCAUGGGUUGUUUGAAUUACAUUAGCAGGUUUAUCGCACAUUCAACAGUCAUAUGCGAGCUAAUUCUUAAGAUGUUGAAGAAAAAUGCAUUGAACGAGUGGACAGAAGAAUGUCAGAGGGCUUUUAACCGCAUCAAGGAAUACUUGUCUGCACCGCCGAUUUUGGUUCCACCAAGAGAAAAAAUUCCAUUAUUGCUUUACCUGUCAGUCUUAGAAAAUGCUUUCGGAUGUGUCCUCAGACAACAUGAUGAGACCGGUAGGAGAGAGAAAGCCAUUUACUACUUGAUUAAAAAUUUCACGCCAUAUGAAGCCCGUUACACUCUUGUAGAAAGGAGAUGCUGUGCUUUGACUUGGAUGGCACAAAAGUUGAGGCAUUGUCUGUCGUCCUACACAACAUUCCUCAUCUCGAGAAUGGAUCCAUUAAAGUAUAUUUUCUAAAAGGCCAUGCCUUCAGGAAAGCUAGCCAAAUGGCAAAUGUUUCUGAGUGAGUUUGACAUUGUGUAUGUAACCCAAAAAGUAAUCAAGGGGCAGGCUUUAGCAGAUCAUUUGGUAGAGAACCUAGUUGAUGAGGAAUAUGAGCCACUUCGAACUUACUUUCCAGAUGAGGAAGUUUUGUUCGUAGGAGAAGACAUUACAGAGAUUUACCCUGGAUGGAGGCUAUUUUUUGAUGGGGCGGUCAACUUCAAAGGUUCAGGAAUUGGAGUAGAUUUAGUGUCAGAAACGGGCCAGCAUUAUUCGGUAACUACUAAGUUACAUUUUCCAUGCACCAAUAACAUGGCUGAAUAUGAGGCUUGCAUUCUGGGUCUCAAAUUGGCACUAGAUAUGGGUGUUCAUGAAUUAUUAGUCAUCGGGGAUUCAUAUUUCUUGAUUCUCCAGGUACGGGGAGAAUGGGCGGUAAAAAAUCCCAAGAUCACUCCUUAUGUGGAGCUGGUGCAAGAAUUAUGUGAAAUAUUCAAGAAAGUUGAUUUUAGGCAUAUCCCACGGAUACAAAAUGAGUUUACUGAUGCUUUGGCCACUAUAUCUUUCAUAAUUCAGCACCCGGAUCAGAGUUACAUUGAUCCUUUGGAAAUAAGCUUGGAGGAGCAACCCGCGCAUUGUGUACACGUGGAAGAGGAGCCUGAUGGAAAGCCUUGGUACUAUGACAUUAAAAGGUAUUUGGAAUCUGAAAUAUAUCCUGAAGAGGCUAGUAACAACCAAAAGUAGACAAUCCAGCGUUUGACAAAUAAUUACUUUCCUAGUGGGGAAAUUCUUUUUAGGAGGACUCCUAAUUUGGGAUUCCUAAGAUGUGUUGAUGCUGCGGAAGCCAAUAAAUUAAUAAAAGAGGUACACGCUGGAAUUUGUGGCCCCCACAUGAAUGGGUUUGUCCUUGCCAGAAAAAUCCUGAGAACCAGUUACUUCUGGAUGACUAUGGAAAAUGAUUAUUGUAAGUAUGUACAGAGAUGUCCAAAAUGUCAAAUACACAGAGAUCUGAUUCGAAUGCCUCCACACGAGCUUUACAUAAUGAAUUCACCUUGGCCUUUCGUAGCUUGGGGCAUGGAUUUCAUCGGACCAAUAGAGCCAUUAGCAUCGAAUGGGCAUAGAUUUAUUUUGGUUGCCAUUGAUUAUUUCACUAAGUGGGUUGAAGCGGCUUCCUACAGAGCCGUCACUAAGAAAGUGGUUAUGGAUUUUGUCAGGAAUAACAUAAUUUUUUGGUUCAGAGUAUCGGAAUCGAUUAUUACUGACAAUGGGGCAAACUUGAACAGUCACUUGAUGAAAGAAAUUUGUGAUCAGUUCAAGAUUGUGCAUCGUAACUCGACUGCAUAUCGUCCCCAAAUGAAUGAAGCUGUGGAAGAGGCCAACAAGAAUAUCAAAAAGAUCUUGAGAAAGAUGGUCAAAAAUGAUAGAUCAUGGCAUGAGAUGUUACCUUAUGCUUUGCUAGGGUAUCGCACAACAGUUUGAACCUCUACCGAGGCGACCCCCUAUUUACUUGUCUAUGGGAAUCAAGCUGUGAUACCUGCUGAAGUUGAAAUACCUUCCCUAAGGAUUAUUCAGGAAGCUGGUCUAAGUAACGAAGAAUGGGUUCGUGCUCGCUAUGAACAACUCAUGUUGAUUGAUGAAAAGAGAAUGGUCGUUGUAUGCCAUGGUCAGUUGUACCAACACAGGAUGGUUCGUGCCUUUUACAAAAAGGUGAAGGCUCGGGCAUUUGAAGUGGGGCAACUGGUUCUCAAACGAAUAUUCCCUCACCAAGAGGAGUACAAGGGCAAGUUCGCUCCAAACUAGCAAGGGCCAUACAUAGUUUGCAAGGUGCUAUCUGGAGGAGCUCUGAUUUUAUCUGAGAUGGAUGGCACGGAGUGGACCAAACCAAUCAAUUCCAAUGCGGUAAAGAGAUACUAUGUUUGAAGGACAUUCUAGGUUUUGUGUUUCUUUAGUUAAUUUACUUGUAAUCGCCUUUCUAAUAAUGUUGUUUUCUAGUGUGUGACUGUCUAGAGUCCUUUCCUCUUAUGUACGAACUAUGUUUGACCUGAAUUCUCAAGAAAGGGAUACGUAGGCGGACUAUGUCGACUUCGGUCAACCCCUUAGGAAAAUUUAUCCUCUAUGUAUGAACUACGUUUGACCUGAAUUCCCAAGAAAGGGAUACGUAGGCGGCCUAUGUCUGCUUCGGUCAACCCCUUAGGAAAAUUUAUCCAUUCCCUCUAUGUACGAACUACGUUUGACCUGAAUUCUCAAGAAUGAGAUACAUAGGCAGCCUAUGUCGGCUUCGGUCAACUCCUUAGGAUGAUUUAUCCUUUCCUCUUAUGUAUGAACUACGUGAUGACCUGAAUUCCCAAUAAAAGGGAUAUAUAGGCAGCCUAUGUCGGCUUUGGUCAACCCAUUAGAUUUUCUAUAUAUAUCGUUAGCGUAGUCCUGAACUAUGUUUGACCUGAUUCCUGCUUUAACGUGAUACGUAGGCGCCCCAACGGCUCGGUCAUAUAACCCCAGGAAAUGGAAACUGGGGCAGAAUUUUUGAGAAGUAAUCUCGAAAAUUCAAAAGAGAAGAUCGACAUCCAACAAACAGAAUGAAGAUUAGCAAAUACUUCAGAUCCACUCGGAUUGGUAUCAUCUCAAACAACUUUAAACUGAGGUAGAAAUGUUGUGGAAGACCUCAAAAUUUCCACCAAAUGCCGGAACAUAUUCCAAAUUCCCCAUCACCAGAGGUUAAAGCUUUGGAAGCCACCAACUGUAACAAAGUCUGGGUAGACUCAAUUUUUGGCUAUGAUAGAACUACUUAAAGAAACCCUCCAACAAUGAUCAUGAGUUUUGGAAACCAUCCGUCGAAUAUAGUCAAAACCACGAGGAGGACGUUCUUUGAGCUAGUACAUGACAUGACCGACAGAGAUUUUCUAAAGUUUUAUAGAAGUUUUUGAAAUUAUUUUCAAAAAUUUAAGUCUAUUUUCAAAAAUCUUAUGACUCACUUAUCUAGUACUUGCCUAGACAUCAUUUGGGAUGGAGUGUCAGGGUGGAAGUCCCAACACGACGGAAUGCCCGAGAGAUGGCAAGGAGCAAAUCAAGGAUCAAAGAAGGUCAACAUGGCGUAAUUUCAUUCAAACUAAUCAUUUUUCUGUGGAUGCAGGGAUAAAUACACAAAAAUGAGAGUCUCUUUCAAAAAUUCCCGAGAAAAUUGAGAGCCACAACAGAUCAUUAAUGCCUUAGAAUGAUAUUUUAGGAGCCUAGACAUCAUUUGGGAUGGAGUGUCAGGGUGGAAGUCCCAACACGACGGAAUGCCCGAGAGAUGGCAAGGAGCAAAUCAAGGAUCAAAGAAGGUCAACAUGGCGUAAUUUCAUUCAAACUAAUCAUUUUUCUGUGGAUGCAGGGAUAAAUACACAAAAAUGAGAGUCUCUUUCAAAAAUUCCCGAGAAAAUUGAGAGCCACAACAGAUCAUUAAUGCCUUAGAAUGAUAUUUUAGGAUAGCCCUAAAAAUGGGUUAACAGCUAUUUAUUGAGGACCUUUUGAUUUGUCCAUCUCAUUUCUUGAGAUCAUAGGCAACAAAUAAAAACGCCUAGUCUUCUUUACAAAUAUUGUAUUUAGAAGUUUCCUAAAAAUAGUCGCUAGCAAAAACGACUUUGUGUCUACUAAUCGCCUACCUUGAGCACAGGUACAUGUAGUAAGCAAGACGAUGACAGAUGAAUUCAGGUAAAAUUAUUUUUAUCAUUGCCCCAAGAGCUAUUGCAUAUCAUCGCCAUAAGGGCUAUUGCAUAUCAUCGCCACAAGGGCUAUCGCAUAUCAUUGCCACAAGGGCUAUUGCAUAUCAUCGCCACAAGGGCUAUUGCAUAUUAUUGCCCUAAGGGCCAUUACAUAGCAUUGCCGCAAAGUCCAUCUCAUACUAUCGCCCCAGAAGGCAUUCAACAUCUGUUGACAUGCUAAACAGAAGUGCUGGCGUCGAGGAUAUCUCAUCAUUUCAUGAAUCAGCAUAUGAAUGCAUCGAGGGUACACGAUUUGAAGGGACGUCUUUGAGUCGCUAUCCAAGAAUGAAUGAUAUAUAAGGUUUCCUGGAAAUUGACAAUUUGAGGGUCACCUAUAAGUCACAUUAUUUGAAAUAGGAUAGUGUGUAAAAUCACUUAUGAGUUGAUAGCCUAUAGGUCAUCCGUAAGCCACAAUAACAUCAUAACCGGAUAGUGUGCAAGAUCUCCCAAAAGUUGAUAGUUCAAAGGUUAUCCGUAAGUCGCAACUAAAUCCUUACCGGAGGAUAUGCAAGACUGUCAAAUUGAUACGUCAAAGGGUUCUCUAUAAGCCGCGUCAUAUCCAAGAUCGAUUAUGUGCAGAUUACCCAAAAACUAUCAAUUUGAGGGAUUAUCUAUAAGUCAUAUUGUAUCCAAGGUCGGAUGAUGUACAGGAACACCUGAAAACUAGCGAUUGGAGAGAUAUCUGUAAGCCAUCUCUUAUCCAAAGUCGGAUAAUGUGUAGAAUUGCCUAAAAGCUAGCAAUUCAAAGGAUAUCUGUAAGUCGCCUCGUAUCCAACAAUCAAAUAAUGCGCAAGAUUAUCCAAAGAUUGACAAUUUAAGGAAAAUUUGUAAAUCAAUCAUCGGCUAUAACCGGAGAGUUCAUCAUUCCACAUACAACAAGUGAUAUAGGUAACCAAAAGGGUUGCCACACUAGCAUAAGAUUACACGGUUGUAGGGACCGUUCUGUAAAAGUAUUAUCGGUGUCUAAAAGGGCCACCCUACUCUGAAGGUACAAGAAAGGAUGAUUUCGCUUUUUAGACAACAACUAAUGAUUUUUGUGUGAGAAAUUAUCGAGAGCAUCUUAAAGGAUGAAAAUAUCAAAUCAAAACCACAGGUGCCGACGACUCCAAAAAGGAUGCAGCACAACGUGGAACUCUUUCUCAGCAGCAAAACGGGACAUAGUCUGGAAAGGAAUGUCAAACUCUCUAGACGCGAGAUAAAUGAUGAUCACCACUACCAUCCAACCAUGCCUCUAUUAGAAGGCAUGUGGGUUUUUUUGGAUAUUAUGGUCUCAGCUUUACCUCUGGGAUGUUUUCUUAACUCAUAUCGAGGGAAACUUUCUCUUCCUUUCAAAUUCGGGUGGCAACACACUUAGAGUUUUGGAAUUAUGUCUGGGUAAGUUCUUAACUAUGGAUGUGAAGAGCUCCACAUUCAUAGUUAAGAGGUUACAAGCCUGUUUUCUGCAACUCGAUUGACUGGUCACCCAUCUUGAGCCAAAGAUCGUCUAAAAUAAGAGACUAUCUUUUCUACCGGUUGAGUCGAACUACAAGCAGUAUGAUUUCCUGAAUCUUGGGGAUAUGUAGGCAGGGAUCUAUGUAGAAAACUCGACUGCAUACCAACCUCCCCCCUAAUCCCUUUAUCCCCCAGUUUCUCGAUUUAAUCACAAACUCUAAAAUUGAGAUAACUUGUAAAUCUUUUGAAAAUCAUGCUCAAAAUCAAGCUUUAUGAACUACAAGUGGCCUGAAUUCUCAUGAAACCUAGGAUAUGUAGGAAACUUGAUACCAAGGUUCGGCCAUAACUCCAUGAAACUCAUGCGGAAAACCAACCUCUCUUAGAUACGAAUUUGUGGUCGGAUAAAAAUUAGGAACGUCAACCUCUCUUUGCCCAGGAUUACUUGCAUCCAUCCUACCCAAAGGGAGGGGGCAGUUGUUGACACCUAAUUUUUGCUCUCCACAACUACGUUUAAUCUCGAGUUUCUUCGAUUUUCAAAUAAAAUCACAACAUUAUUUUUCUCCAAAUAAACGCAUUUUAAAAUAUGCAUUUGGGUUAAAUUUGUCAUUUAAGUGAUAAUUAUAUAUUUUCAUAUUUGAAUAUACGGGAUUGUAUAAAUGAUGUCAUUUAAAUGAACAUUUUCAUCAAAAUUGGACAUUAAAUUAAGGAAUAUUAGGAAAAUAAAUAUAACUAAUUAAAUCUUGAUUUAAAUAUAAUUUAUUCUUACAAAUAAUCUAUUUACUUAUUUAAUUUUAUUGAAUUAAGAAGCUCAGGAUUAAACAAUGUGUUAAUUCGUAUCGAAUUUUGAUUUGAUUUAGUCCAUCUAUUAUAUUUGACUAUAAUUGAAAUCAAAUUGGCCCCAAUUGCAAUGCAAUUGGCCAAAUUGAUUUUCAAUUUGGCCUAAACUUAAAUGAAUUGGCCAAAUCCCCACUUCUUUCUCGAAAUAAACUACCCGACCCAGGCUCAAAAUCACCUACUUUCUCACACAACCAACCCUCCACACCAGCCCAGUCCAAAGCCCAAAAGUUGUCUGACCCGGCCCAUCACCUAUUAACCCUUCUCUUUUAACAAGAUAUCACCAAAACAAGAACAGCUUCAAAAAUACAACACAAUCAAUCUUAAUACCCCCAACCCGUCUUCGACCCAAAUUCGAUAACCCGAUUCCAAAUCGCGACAAAAACCCACCGACCCACUCGACCCAAAAUCCGUGUCCAACCCACGAACUUGUCCACAACAGCUUUGGAGAAACUUCCAAAAGCGGACAGCUCAUACACCAACGAUAACGGUACAAUUUCGUACAAUCCCACCUUACAAUCUUAUCCCCCUUUUCAAAAAUUGGAAUUCCCCCUUCUCAAAAUUUUGAAAUUACCCCUGUUAAUGAAAAAUCCCACAUCGAUGGAGCACAACGGGCUCCUGACUCUUGUUCCCUAUAAAAGCUCACCAUUGAGCAAAGAAAAAGAGAGAUUGGAGGGUUGAACAAGGGGGGAGGAAGUCAAAAUUAGGUUUAGAAAUUUUGAGGAUAAAAGUCAGGGUUCGAGAAUUAGGGCAAAAAAUUCUAGGGUAGGAAACAGGGGGAUUUUUUUUAGUUGAGGUAAAAAUUUGGGGGUUAGGUUCUCUGUAGAGAAAAUUUGGGAAUUUUAUUAUCUCCUCUUCUUUGCCUUUUGAUUUGGAAGUUUUAGAAGCAAAUUGGGUUCAAAAUAUUUUCAAAAAAAAAGCUAAGGGUUGAAGAUAUUUAGUUUGAAAAUCUAGAGGGUUUCAAAAUCUCUAAGAGGUAAAAGCAAAAGGACGCUCUGUUGGUGGUCAACGUCGUGAGAUUCUAGUAGCGAUAAGUUUGCUGAUAGCUCGGGUCCCUGUUUUGCUGCCCUGAAAGAGGUAAACCCAUUCUCGCCCUUUUAAAUUAGUCAUUUUCUGCUUCAUCUUUUUUUGCAGUAGAUUUAAUUAACUAUUUAGUUGUACGCAAUAUUGUUUGCUGGGUUGUCUGCUAAUUAGAGGUCUUAAAGAUCAUAGGUUAAUUGUUUUCAGUGGAAGACGACGCUGUUUGUUGUGUUACGCCAGAGUUAAUUGUUGUACUGUGUAGGACAUAUGGUUUUCGUCGUCUUUUUUGUGACCUGUUGUUAUCUGCUCGUAACACCCUUGAUAAACUUGCGGUCUAGUGACUCACUUUAUAUGUUGCUUGUGGUUUGAAUAGUUGGUUUCCUAGUUAAAGUUUGAUGCUUUGAUAUUGUUUAAUAGUUUUAGCCUGAUGUUGUUUUUAUUAAUAGCCACUUGAUGGUACUUUGUUUGUUGCUACUGUUGGAUUGUGUCGCCAUUGUUAAGCUAGCAACGUUGCUAGCAGAGCUACCUCUCAGGUUCCUUUGGCUUUUUAUGUACCAAAAGGAUAAUGAGCAAGGUCCAAAAGCGUGUUAGAAAGUCCUGGGAUUCCUCAAUGACCGCUUCAUUUGAAUCUGUCGUAAGGAGGAGGAAGAUUUGAAUCAGAGUCGUCCUUGCUGUAGAAUGUAGUAUUUUUCUUGUCUCCUUUCAUGGCACAAAUAGUAUAUAGCAAAUGCUCAUCGUUUUAUGAAGGAAUAAGUGUUGCUGGUAUUGCUGCAAUUUCCGUGUUAUGAAGUCCCUCUAGGAUAAUUCAAUUAGUUUGAUUUUUGUAUAUAUCAAAGAUUUCAAUAUGCGAAUAACCGAAUCUGUAUGUGUUAAAAGGCUUUAUGUUGUCCGUACGCUUAGCAAAGAAUGUUUGAAUCAUGCCUAUGUUUAAAUUUGGUCGCUUUAUUUGUGUUUCAUCUUUUUCCCCUGAAAAUUGAAACUGGUGACAGAAUCUAUACGCAUCUUCGAUUAUUAUGGUUUAAAUGUUGACGGGUGAAGUAUUUUGACUCGAUUACCAUCAAAGUUGCCAUUAUGAGGGAUUGAAUUUGGUCUCAUUUGAGCUCAUGAAUGUUUGUAAUUUCACGUGCAUCGUCUUAAAUAUGUAAAGUCAGUAAUAUGUGGGGCAUAAUUGUUAUUCAAUUUUCAUCAGACAAGAACAAAGUUUCAAAAAUGUCAAACUUUUGGUAAAGUUGAGACCUUUAUUUUUUCUUUAAAUAAUUCUAUCUUGUUUUACGAUCAU
Molecule: long non-coding RNA, 16328 nt
Filed under: Capsicum annuum
Lineage: Eukaryota; Viridiplantae; Streptophyta; Magnoliopsida; Solanales; Solanaceae
Description: long non-coding RNA (CANN_LNC004318)
Source: RNAcentral